Long non-coding RNA from Acipenser ruthenus (sterlet), 1845 nucleotides. RefSeq lists it as uncharacterized. The record is from RefSeq and is a predicted model, not a curated record. NCBI's taxonomy places the organism in Eukaryota, Metazoa, Chordata, Actinopteri, Acipenseriformes, Acipenseridae. The transcript has 5 exons.
CCUGGAUGAAACAAACAUUCUAGAAGCUUCCAGCAAGGGCGGAGCUUUAUGGUGUGGUUGGCUGGGUCUAUAAACAGCAGCUUCACAUCCUCUCUUUCCUUUCUGCUGGCAGAGUGUGUUCUGACCAGACAGUCCUGCUGAGGGCAUUUCUCAGAGGUGUGUCCAACUACAAUGGAGCGCCCACCUUUUACGCUUGCUUAACUUGUUAUUCAGGAGGAGAAAGAAGAGACUGCUCCCAAGGGCAGGCCAGCAGUGUCCCGAGUCUCUCCGGAGUCCAGUGAUGCUGUUGUGCAGAUCCAGUGCUUGGUAGAAAAGAACCAUCUGAAGAAUGAAAAGCACUGACCUCGAAGCAACGUAUCAACUACGAGACAAAACUGAAGCAACCACAAAACGCAAAAAAUGAAUGAAACCCCCCCUUACCCUUUGGUCUAUCUGUAUCCUAACCUCCGGGUUAGUUUAUGGAGGGCCGGCUUCUGGUUGUCUGCGUUGCUUGGUUCGGCAUGGUUCGAGGGGUCAUGUCGAUAAAACGUAUUUGUUCUCCCUUUUUGUAUUUAAGGCAUGCUGCAUUGUUUCCUACUGUUUAUUAAAAAAAAAAUCAAAUAAAAAUAGAAAAACUUGAAACUGAAUCAUUUGUCUGUCUUUUUUUUUUUUUUUUUUGCAAGUUGUUUGUUAAACCCUACAAUCUCUCAAAGUCCAAAAAUGAGAUGCACAUUAUUGUUGGAAUAAUAUUUUUGACCCAUAUGGUAUCUUCUAUGUUUAAGUCACCGCGUCUUGAUUCUCCACCUAACAUCCAUUGAGUAUAUAAUAGGCUUUCCAAACUUUGUGUUUACAGUAGUUCAGAGGUGUUACCGAAUUACUGUUGUAAACGUCUCGUGUAGUCCACUUGAUGCAGACUAAGUCACUGGUACACUGCAAUCGAGCAUUUAAGUUUCGUUAUGAGUAAAAUCUGCCUGACAUCCUGGAUGUAAUAAACAUAGAAGUUUCUAGCAAAGGCGGAGUUUUGGUUGGCUGGGUCUAUAAACGGCAGCUUCACAUCACUUCUUUCCUUUCUGCUGGCAGAGUGUACUCUGACCAGGCUGUCCUGCUGACGGCAUUUCUCAGGGGGUCCAAUUACAAUGGAGCUCCGACCUUUUACGCUUGCUUAACUUGUUAUUCAGGAGGAGAAAGAAGAGACUGCUCCCAAGGGCAGGCCAGCAGUGUCCCGAGUCUCUCCGGAGUCCAGUGAUCCUGUUGUGCAGAUCCAGUGCUUGGUAGAAAAGAACCAUCUGAAGAAUGAAAAGCACUGACCUCGAAGCAACGUAUCAACUACGAGACAAAACUGAAGCAACCACAAAACGCAAAAAAUGAAACCCCCCCGUCACAUAAUGCAUUAUGCAUUAUGAUGAGCCGCGUCACUACGCAGGACGCAACGUGCUGUUGGCGCGGGGCUAGGUUUAGACGGAGAGCAGUUCGGAUUUGUAUGCAGCGUUACAUGACUCUAAUAAAACUUGAAGUAUUGUUCCAAAAAUUUUUUUUUGGAACAAUACCUUGUUUUAUUAACGAGUCAUGUAACGCUGCAUACAAAUCCGAACAUGCUCUCCGUCUAAACCUAGCCCCGCGCCAACAGCACAUAAUGCAUUAUGUGACACCCCCCCUUACCCUUUGGUCAAUCUGUAUCCUAACCUCCGGGUUAGUUUAUGGAGGGCCGGCUUCUGGCUGUCUGCGUUGCUUGGUUCGGCAUGGUUCGAGGGGUCAUGUCGAUAAAACGUAUUUGUGCUCCCUUUUUGUAUUUAAGGCAUGCUGCAUUGUUUCCUACUGUUUAUUAAAAAAAAAAAUCAAAUAAAAAUAGAAAAACUUGAAACUGAA